ACAGAAGGAAGAGCAGGUUUCUCACGGCAUGUCAGCCCAGGGCUCCCACAUGUGGCCUCCCACCCUCAUCUUCACACAUUCUCACACCUUCCGGAGUACAGAGGCGAGUGGGGUGCAGAUGGUCCUCCCUACAUCGGCCUCCUGCCCCCAACAGGAUUCCUCACAUCCCAGGACCAGCUGGAAAAGGUGGUGAGAGUUGGAAAGAGACUGCUCAGUGAGGACUGCCCUGCGAACCAGCUUGGAUUCAUCCCGUUCACCUCCACGUUCUGCACUCGGGGCCGAGGGAAGGGAGGCAGCCCAGGCAGCUAGAGAACUUGAUGAAACACACUCAAUCUGAAUCUCGCUUGAUCGUCAUGCUGACCCAGUGAGGGUCAGGCAUCCUUUCCGACUACUCACUCAGCAGCGGAUCCCCACCCGCCUCUGACUCCCAGUGUCUUUCGGCUCCAACGUAAGUUCACCGAACGUCUAAGAGCUGAGGAUUCAAAGGCAUGUAAGACCGCCCCUGCCCUCAGCUGCAAGACCUGUCCGCGAUCCUACGAGCCCCAUUCCGCCCUCUUUCCCCGACCUUGGUCCCCCAUGGGCCCUACAACCAGGUCCCCGACUGACACCUUGACCAGCGAACACAGCAAACAGGCCCGCAGAUGCCGCAGGUCCUUCGGCACCGUCUCCAGGGCCAUCUUCGCCGAUGGGAAGAACAACAGGGAGAUAGACGACCACAGCCUGUGCACCCGCAGGAAGUAAAUAGCUCGUUACCCAGAAUGCCCACCACUUCCGGCGCUUAGACUUCCUCUUCCGGUGUGGGCGGACGCCAGCUCCGCCCCUACCCCCGCCAGAGGAGAUGGUUUCUCCCGCCAGCAGGCGGGGAGGCUGGGCGGCCGGCCGCCACCUGGGCCGGAGCGCGUCGCAGCCACCUGAGCCCGCCGAGGGCGCGGCGGAGGCUGUGUGGGGUAGUCAGCGGGCCCCCGGGGCGGGGGGGCGGCUGCGCUUGCGCGGGAGUGUGUCGGGCUGAGCCGCAGCGCCGAGACGCGGGCUGUUUGAUCUGGGCUGGUGGCCCUGGGCGUCGGUCCUGUUCCCCGAUGGUAACCCGAAGUUUGUUUUUUUUUGUUUUGUCUCCCCGUUUUAGAAGCAUUGGGGGCAGUGAAUCCACUGUCUCCCUCUGGAUUGUCUCUGCAGAGACCGAGAAGAAAUCCAGGGACAGCCCCACCCCUCCUUCCUAACUGCGAGAGCGCUAUAGGGUUUCCACUUGCUUCCCACAGGAAUGCUGGCCUGGGAGCUACGGCGGAAAAAAAUGCGUAUUUAUCUUUUAAAACUCCGUCUGUUUGCUCGUUCCGGCUGAUAAUUUAUACUUUGCGCAGUUCUUAGCGCUUAGACACGGUUCCUUUACUAAAGACCAUUUGUAGGAGAUUAGGUGUCCUUUUUUUCCCUUUCAUUUCACCGUCUAGGAAGCGAAAUGCCUUGUUCUAUAGGCACUAAACCACCACCCCUACCAAACCUUUCUCGGGGAAGCAGAAGGGGAACUUGUGCCUUGUGAGGAAGCGACAAAGGCCCCUUCUGGCCCUGGAGACUUCACGCCAAUGGAGCACCAGCUCUCUGUCCUCGCAAUAGCCCGAGUGCAGGCAGAACGCAGUCAUUUGUGUUUAUCUGAGAGGAGCUUUGGGAUAUAAAUAGUUUCAGGCCCCGCUGCGCUGUCAUUCCAGCCCAGCCUCCUGAUUGAGCUGCUUCCGGGCGGGCUUUCUUCUUGUUGGCGGUCCCAUGCUGUGUUCAGAUGGGCUCUGUGACAGGUUUGGAUGUUUUCUAUCACUGAAUAAAACUUUCCACUUUGGAACAUAUUUUCUACACUCUAUUAUCUCAUGUAAGUCCUGCAACAACUAUUAAGUAGGCCCAUUUUAUGGACUGAAAAAGCGAGGCACAGAGUAUUUGCCCAAGGUCUGAGUCACUGAAGUAUGAUAAUGUGUGAAGUGAACAGUAUAAUAAUAAUGACUGAAGCACAGUAAGAAUCCAGUCAUGCUUUCUCCUUCCCUGAUCUCACUAAGCCACACUUUUAGGGGCUUACAAACCAGUUCUUAUUGCCAAGCCCUCUACUCUACCCUAUCCUUUCAUGAAUCGGAGCCUAGCCUCUGAUAACAUAAAUAAUUUACUUCUCUUGAUGUAGAAAGAGAUGACGUUGUUACCCUGAGUGACAGUCACGACAGAACAAAACCACAAGACCAGACCACAUUUGUGGAUAAAUAUAUUAGCAAAUAAAUAUAUUUCUUAACAUAGUGCCUGAUUCAAGCGUCUGUCUGGUUCAGAUAUAAAUACCCAUGUGGGUACCUAGGUGCUAGUCUCCCCACUAACUGAGGGAAAAAGGUUCCCAGGUGGGGUCCUCUGCCCACUUUGCCACCACAUUCACAUUCCAAAUGGGAUAAUGCCUGAGGGGCCAAGAGUGGUCAGGCUGCCCUGGGGUGAAUGUCACCCUGAUGAGGCCCAUCAGCUCUUGUCCACUCAGUGAGGCCAGACUUGUGCUCUAAUCCACUCUCCUGUGGGUCCCUGGCCUGUAUGGCUUAUACUGGGG
Molecule: long non-coding RNA, 2554 nt
Filed under: Homo sapiens (human)
Lineage: Eukaryota; Metazoa; Chordata; Mammalia; Primates; Hominidae
Description: PREDICTED lncRNA (TCONS_00111491)
Source: RNAcentral